CCCCAUACUCCUUCUCAUUAUAAGAUGAGUCGGGAAAGUUUUUUCGCUAAAGGAUUGGGCUAUAUGGUAUCAGCUUGUUGGUGAGGUAACGGCUCACCAAGGCUAUGACGCCUAACUGGUCUGAGAGGAUGAUCAGUCACACUGGAACUGAGACACGGUCCAGACUCCUACGGGAGGCAGCAGUGGGGAAUAUUACACAAUGGAGGAAACUCUGAUGUAGCAACGCCGCGUGGAGGAUGACACAUUUCGGUGCGUAAACUCCUUUUAUAUGGGAAGAUAAUGACGGUACCAUAUGAAUAAGCACCGGCUAACUCCGUGCCAGCAGCCGCGGUAAUACGGAGGGUGCAAGCGUUACUCGGAAUCACUGGGCGUAAAGCGCAUGUAGGCGGUCUUGUAAGUUGGGUGUGAAAGCCUAUGGCUCAACCAUAGAACUGCACCCAAAACUACUAGGCUAGAGUCUGGGAGAGGAAAAUGGAAUUAGUUGUGUAGGGGUAAAAUCCGUAGAGAUAACUAGGAAUACCAAAAGCGAAGGCAAUUUUCUGGAACAGUACUGACGCUCAGAUGCGAAAGCGUGGGUAGCAAACAGGAUUAGACACCCUGGUAGUCCACGCCCUAAACGAUGAAUGUUAGUCGUCGGGAGGCUCGUCCUUUCGGUGAUGCAGCUAACGCAUUAAACAUUCCGCCUGGGGAGUACGGUCGCAAGAUUAAAACUCAAAGGAAUAGACGGGGACCCGCACAAGUGGUGGAGCAUGUGGUUUAAUUCGAAGAUACGCGAAGAACCUUACCUAGCCUUGACAUUGAUAGAAUCCGAUGGAAACAUUGGAGUGCCAGUUUACUGGAGCUUGAAAACAGGUGCUGCACGGCUGUCGUCAGCUCGUGUCGUGAGAUGUUGGGUUAAGUCCCGCAACGAGCGCAACCCUCGUCCUUAGUUACUAACGGUUCGGCCGAGGACUCUAAGGAGACUGCCUUCGUAAGGAGGAGGAAGGUGAGGACGACGUCAAGUCAUCAUGGCCCUUACGGCUAGGGCGACACACGUGCUACAAUGGAUAGGACAAUGAGACGCAAUACCGCGAGGUGGAGCAAAUCUAUAAACCUAUUCUCAGUUCGGAUUGUAGUCUGCAACUCGACUACAUGAAGCUGGAAUCACUAGUAAUCGUAGAUCAGCCAUGCUACGGUGA
RNAcentral lists this ribosomal RNA (1178 nucleotides) under uncultured Campylobacterota bacterium. Its description in RNAcentral is "bacterial SSU rRNA". It matches the Rfam family "Bacterial small subunit ribosomal RNA", at positions 169 to 1365 of the family's 1533-position model. The record is from RNAcentral. Lineage: Bacteria; Pseudomonadati; Campylobacterota.